AGUGAACGCUGGCGGUAGGCCUAACACAUGCAGGUCGAACGGCAGCACAGUAAGAGCUUGCUCUUACGGGUGGCGAGUGGCGGACGGUUGAGGAAUACAUCGGAAUCUACUUUUUCGUGGGUGAUAACGUAGGGAAACUUACGCUAAUACCGCAUACGACCUACGGGUGAAAGCAGGGGAUCUUCGGACCUUGCGCGAUUGAAUGAGCCGAUGUCGGAUUAGCUAGUUGGCGGGGUAAAGGCCCACCAAGGCGACGAUCCGUAGCUGGUCUGAGAGGAUGAUCAGCCACACUGGAACUGAGACACGGUCCAGACUCCUACGGGAGGCAGCAGUGGGGAAUAUUGGACAAUGGGCGCAAGCCUGAUCCAGCCAUACCGCGUGGGUGAAGAAGGCCUUCGGGUUGUAAAGCCCUUUUGUUGGGAAAGAAAAGCAGCAGGUUAAUACCCCGCUGUUCUGACGGUACCCAAAGAAUAAGCACCGGCUAACUUCGUG
RNAcentral lists this ribosomal RNA (492 nucleotides) under uncultured bacterium. RNAcentral describes it as "partial 16S ribosomal RNA". It matches the Rfam family "Bacterial small subunit ribosomal RNA", at positions 29 to 507 of the family's 1533-position model. The record is from RNAcentral.